This 199-nucleotide non-coding RNA is filed under the name unclassified sequences. Its description in RNAcentral is "raiA RNA". It matches the Rfam family "raiA RNA". The record is from Rfam by way of RNAcentral.
AUGUCUCGUGUCUGUGGUUGAAAGUUGAGGCUAGUCGCAGGCAAAGCAAUCCACGUAAACUUCACUAAAAUCGGUGGAGCGAUCAUAGUGCGGCCUAGAAGUAAGUCCAGCCGGCGCAAGUCGAGAGAAGGAGUCGUGAUAUCAAAGCCAAACUUCCAGCUGGCGAGUGUGGGGUUAAAGACCAGGUCAGACGAGAUGU